Molecule: ribosomal RNA, 660 nt
Filed under: uncultured bacterium
Lineage: Bacteria
Description: bacterial SSU rRNA
Rfam family: Bacterial small subunit ribosomal RNA
Source: RNAcentral
AGUGGCGGACGGGUGAGUAACGCGUGAGAAUCUGCCUUGGGGUCGGGGACAACCACUGGAAACGGUGGCUAAUACCGGAUAAGCCGAUUGGUGAAAGAUUUAUUGCCCGAAGAGGAGCUCGCGUCUGAUUAGCUAGUUGGUGAGGUAAGAGCUCACCAAGGCAGCGAUCAGUAGCUGGUCUGAGAGGACGAUCAGCCACACUGGGACUGAGACACGGCCCAGACUCCUACGGGAGGCAGCAGUGGGGAAUUUUCCGCAAUGGGCGAAAGCCUGACGGAGCAAGACCGCGUGAGGGAGGAAGGCUCUUGGGUUGUAAACCUCUUUUCUCAGGGAAGAAGCUCUGACGGUACCUGAGGAAUCAGCCUCGGCUAACUCCGUGCCAGCAGCCGCGGUAAUACGGAGGAGGCAAGCGUUAUCCGGAAUUAUUGGGCGUAAAGCGUCCGCAGGUGGCGAUUCAAGUCUGCUGUCAAAGCACGGGGCUUAACUCCGUAAAGGCAGUGGAAACUGAAUAGCUAGAGUGCCGUAGGGGUAGAGGGAAUUCCCGGUGUAGCGGUGAAAUGCGUAGAGAUCGGGAAGAACAUCGGUGGCGAAAGCGCUCUACUAGACGGCAACUGACACUCAGGGACGAAAGCUAGGGGAGCGAAUGGGAUUAGAUACCCC